Molecule: long non-coding RNA, 475 nt
Organism: Mytilus trossulus (common blue mussel)
Lineage: Eukaryota; Metazoa; Mollusca; Bivalvia; Mytilida; Mytilidae
Exons: 4
Source: RefSeq, a predicted model, not a curated record
GAUAUGAUUUGUGCAUCCGUAAUAACAAGCUAUUUAAAUGUGAACGCACAGCAAAAUUUCUGUAGUUUCAUAUUGUCUCGUCACAAUUUACACCAUGAAAACAAGUGUUGCUGUUAUAAUUCUGCUCGUUUGCCUUUCGGGCAUGAUAAUGAACCAAACAGAAGGGAAAAAAAUAACCUGUAAAUGGGGAGGAUGUCCGGUUAACUUAGCUUGUGGCCUCUGUUGUGAACACUUCAGGCCAGGCUGCAAUGGUGGGACGUGUAAGGGACUGCUUGAUCUGAGAUGUGAAUGUGAUUGUCCUUCUGGAUAAAAAAGACGAUCCAAGAUAUACAAAAGAAGGAUUCGAUGUAAACGUUAGAUUUGUAAAUUGAUUUUAACUCUUAGAUUAUGAAAAAGAGAAGACGUUAUUAGUUAGUAAAUUGUUUGUGAUCCUUAUUUUGUAAUUGUUCAAAUAAAAUAGAUUUGGAAUACAUAA